GAUGAACGCUAGCUACAGGCUUAACACAUGCAAGUCGAGGGGAAACGACAUCGAAAGCUUGCUUUUGAUGGGCGUCGACCGGCGCACGGGUGAGUAACGCGUAUCCAACCUGCCCAUCACUUGGGGAUAACCUUGCGAAAGUAAGACUAAUACCCGAUGAUAUCCCUAGAAGACAUCUGAAAGGGAUUAAAGAUUUAUCGGUGAUGGAUGGGGAUGCGUCUGAUUAGCUUGUUGGCGGGGUAACGGCCCACCAAGGCGACGAUCAGUAGGGGGUUCUGAGAGGAAGGUCCCCCACAUUGGAACUGAGACACGGUCCAAACUCCUACGGGAGGCAGCAGUGAGGAAUAUUGGUCAAUGGGCGAGAGCCUGAACCAGCCAAGUAGCGUGCAGGAUGACGGCCCUAUGGGUUGUAAACUGCUUUUAUAAGGGAAUAAAGUUAGUCUCGUGAGACUUUUUGCAUGUACCUUAUGAAUAAGGACCGGCUAAUUCCGU
Molecule: ribosomal RNA, 492 nt
Filed under: uncultured bacterium
Lineage: Bacteria
Description: bacterial SSU rRNA
Rfam family: Bacterial small subunit ribosomal RNA
Source: RNAcentral